CUCACACCCUCUGGCCUGAGGCUGACUGGCUCUGUGGCUGGGUUCAGGGGUUCAGGGGUUCAGGGAGGGAGUGGGCCUUGCCCUCAGCAGCCCCCAUUCCUGCUCUGACCCCUUUUCAGUCUUCCUCCUCUUGUGGGCGGUACCCUGGGGCCCUCACCCCUGGAGGUGUGAGGACCUCCCAGCUCCUCACACGAGAUGACUGUCUAAGUAUCUAGAAAUCAAUAUUUUAAAUACAAACUUUGGAUCGCUUCGUGACUUUUGCAUAUCCUCAAAGGGCCAUCGUUUCUCUUAGGACUGACAGUCCCUCCAGCCCUACUGGGCCAGACUAGGCAGGCAUAAGGGUGCCCUGUCCCAGCCCUCUUUGGGGCGGGCUUCUGUCCCCUUCCUGCUGCCUGGAAGCAGGACCACACUUUGGUGGCAGGAGGGGCAGCAGAGACUGUGGACCCCCGAGCUGUGCCUAAGUCCUCUGUGUGGUCUAGCUGCAUUGGCCAUCAUUUACCACUCUGUAAAGAAGACCGAUACCUGUGGCAUGGAGGGCGUGAGGCUGGUGUGAGUGCCAAGCACUUGGAGCAGGGCCCUGAGUGAGCAUGGACGUGGGAGCAGGGGUGUUCCUAGACUUCAUGCACCUUGGGGAUGGGAGUGGAGCUCCCUGUGUGGGUUGAUAAGGCAUUGCUUUCCCCCACCCCACCUCUGCCCCAGCCCUGCAAGUCCAGUCCUUGGGGGUCUAGGAGGGAAGAAGCCCCUGGCUGUGAGUCCUCGAGAUGGACCCUGGCCCUCUCUGGCUCUGAGUUCCUGGGAAAGUCGGUGGUGUUGGAACUCCGGAUUCAUUCCUCAGCGUUGAGGCACUGUCUGUGGAAACCGUGGGACAAGGUGAAGGUAUACAAAAUGUGCCUAGGAGGACUCUGCUUUAUAUCCAUUCAAAGUGAGAAGUAAUACAGGAAGAUUUUGCCUGGCUAGAGGCUGUGAAAGAAUGGAGUAUUCUGGUUUAAUGCUAUUAACUUGGAAGUACGAAGGUGAAAAAAAUUCAACACUUGUAUUUCCUGUUGAAUACAAUUUGAAAAUAUAGCCAUUGAUUCCACUUUUCUUCUCUAGUAAGUUUGAACAUUCCAAUCUACUUGGUGUUUUAUUAUAGAACUGCUAGUGUGCCUGUGACUUACAUUGUGAAGAUAUGUUUUUAAAACUUGAGAGGUAAGAGGGUGUAAAUGGUGUUGUAUGAGAUCAGGCUGGAUGAGAACUGACAUUGUAAAUAUACUUUUUAGACUGAAUCACUGAAUGCCACUUGUUUUCUUAUUUAACUCAUAAAAAUAGAACACAUUGGAUGGAGGGUGGGAGCAGGAGGGAGAUUUAUGUCUUUUAAUUGCAUGUCAUUGUUUCAUAUCAAGACCCAACAUAUGUAAUCCCUGGCUUUGGACCUACAGAAGGAAACACGUUUUUCUGCCUGUUGUAUACCAGAGGUUCUUGAACACCCAGAGGGUUACUGCAGCACAGAUGGCUGAGCUUUACUCCAGAGUUACUGAUUCACCAGGUCCAGGGUGGGGCCUGAGAAUUUGCACUCAUGAAAAGUUCUCAGGUUCUGCUGGUGCUGCUAGUCCAGAGACUACAUUAUUGAGAACCCUCUUGUCUACUAACUGUAAAUGGUAGAACUCUAGAAAAAAGCUUAGUUUGGUGUGGGAUAAGAAGCUCAGAGAUUAUGGAGCAAAUCAUGAAAGAUUCAACCCUUGAUCCCAGCACAGUGUGGAAUUCAGGUAGCAAUACACAGUGACAUAACACAAUUCUUGAUUUUCAUGAUUGCAAGUCAUAGCCAAGUAUCAAGUGAGAAAAUCAGUUUCAUUUGCAAGGCUUAGAAAGGCCAGGUGAUCCCAGAAAAAGAGGUCUUGUAUUUGCUUUAAACUGGUAAAGAGUUUUGAGUGCUUAUUAGAUUGAAAGUUUUGUAUUUUUCUAUUUUAUUUUAUUUUAUUUUAUUUUAUUUUAUUUUAUUUUAUUUUAUUUUUAGAUGGAGUCUCGCUGUGUUGCCCAGGCUGGAAUGCAGUUGCUUGAUCUUGGCUCACUGCAAAUUCCGCCUCCUGGGUUUAAGUGAUUCUCCUGCCUGAGCCUCGUGAGUAGCUGGGAUUACACGUACACACCAACACACCUGGGUAUUUUUCUAUUUUUAGUAGAGACGGGGUUUCAUCAUGUUGCCCAGGCUGGUCUUGAACUCCUGAACUAAAGUGAACCACUGC
Molecule: long non-coding RNA, 2219 nt
Organism: Macaca mulatta (Rhesus monkey)
Lineage: Eukaryota; Metazoa; Chordata; Mammalia; Primates; Cercopithecidae
Source: Ensembl